Molecule: transfer RNA, 77 nt
Filed under: Paenibacillus sacheonensis
Lineage: Bacteria; Bacillati; Bacillota; Bacilli; Caryophanales; Paenibacillaceae
Also listed under: 15 other names
Description: tRNA-Arg
Rfam family: tRNA
About the family: Transfer RNA (tRNA) molecules are approximately 80 nucleotides in length. Their secondary structure includes four short double-helical elements and three loops (D, anti-codon, and T loops).
Source: RNAcentral
GUCCCAGUAGCUCAGUUGGAUAGAGCACACGCCUUCUAAGCGUGUUGUCGGGGGUUCGAAUCCCUCCUGGGACGCCA